Non-coding RNA from Prunus avium (sweet cherry), 463 nucleotides. The record is from RefSeq and is a predicted model, not a curated record. Lineage: Eukaryota; Viridiplantae; Streptophyta; Magnoliopsida; Rosales; Rosaceae.
UCAGACUUUGUUGGUAUGUCCAUAAUUAUUUCUUUCUCCAAAUAUUUGUGAAAAAGAAUUCCUGAUUCGUAAAACGAUCAUAUAGUAUAUCCAGUUCAUGGUUUCGACAUCUAGAACCCUUUUAUCUUUUUAUCCAAGAGCAUAGCUUGGGUGGUUAUGAUCCUGAAAAUUAAGAGCAUAUUUUGCAUUGUACCCGGAUUGCGUUUAGGACGGAGGGAGUAAACGUGGAUGACUUACAGAGUGAAAGUGCAUAAGCAACACUGAUUGAAAAAAGGACUUUGUAUGCGUGCAGCCUGCUACAGCAAAUGCAUUGAAAUUGUUUCUGAAUUGAACAUCAAAUUGGUUUCCGUAGUUGGCUUCAUUGCUGAUAAGAUUUGGUGCCUUUCAACUUUCCUUCUUGUGUAUAUUUCUACAUUUGUAAACCAUUGUAUUGUUGAGUUGACCUUUGCUGCCUGUUACCUUU